Molecule: transfer RNA, 110 nt
Filed under: archaeon
Lineage: Archaea
Description: tRNA-Leu
Rfam family: tRNA
About the family: Transfer RNA (tRNA) molecules are approximately 80 nucleotides in length.
Source: RNAcentral
GCGGGAGUGCCGGAGUGGUCAAAAACUUUUCAUUGAGAAGUUGGCUUAACGGGCUAGGCUUAGGACCUAGUGACUUAGUGUCUACGCAGGUUCGAACCCUGUCUCCCGCA